This 599-nucleotide ribosomal RNA is filed under the name uncultured bacterium. RNAcentral describes it as "bacterial SSU rRNA". It matches the Rfam family "Bacterial small subunit ribosomal RNA", at positions 338 to 956 of the family's 1533-position model. The record is from RNAcentral.
CCUACGGGAGGCAGCAGUGGGGAAUCUUGCGCAAUGGGCGAAAGCCUGACGCAGCAACGCCGCGUGCGGGAAGAAGGCUUUCGGGCUGUAAACCGCUUUCAGCAGGAACGAAAAUGACGGUACCUGCAGAAGAAGGAGCGGCCAACUAUGUGCCAGCAGCCGCGGUGAUACAUAGGCUUCAAGCGUUGUCCGGAUUUAUUGGGCGUAAAGAGUUCGUAGGCGGUCGAGUAAGUCGGGUGUGAAAAUUCUGGGCUCAACCCAGAGACGCCACCCGAUACUGCUUGACUUGAGUUCGAUAGGGGAGUGGGGAAUUCCUAGUGUAGCGGUGAAAUGCGCAGAUAUUAGGAGGAACACCGGUGGCGAAGGCGCCACUCUGGAUCGAUACUGACGCUGAGGAACGAAAGCAUGGGUAGCAAACAGGAUUAGAUACCCUGGUAGUCCAUGCCGUAAACGGUGGGCACUAGGUGUGGGUUUCUAUUAACGAAAUCCGCGCCGUCGCUAACGCAUUAAGUGCCCCGCCUGGGGGAGGUACGGUCGCAGACUAAACUACAAGAAGUAGACGGCGNGAGACGUGCCGACGGACGACGACGAGGGAGAGG